AGUAAAUUCUCUGGGAUACAUCUUAUUACUGUUUUGUUAUUUUAUUAUUGAAAGUAAUAUUGAUCAUGUGGCAAUGAAGUAAGGUCUCCGUUUUAGCGUCAAGAUACUGGCCUUGACGGUGAACUUUGGUUCGUUGGAGGAGAUCAUUAAUAUGGGAUCAUUUGAUCUGUUUUUAGUUAGCUGGUAUAUAUUCUUUGAGAAAGUGCAUUCUUGAACAACUUAUUAAUAUAGGACUCAUUUUUUUUUACAAAUGUGUUGUCUAUUGUUAAUUUAAUAUCACAACAAGUUUAUCUAAAGUAGCCAAGUGUUUGCAGAAAGACUAUUAAUUAGCUGAAGUAUAUGCUUUAGAACUGAAGAUAAAUGCAUGGAUUAAUUCAUAUGAAACCUGUAUCUCAAGCAUGUACACUGUGUGGCGUCAUCUUGGUGAAUUUAUGAAUAGGGCAGUGUAACACUUGCAGAGAUGCACAACACUCUUCGUCCUCUUUGUACAGUCUCAGGGUCAUCUCCCGUGUCGUGUAUUUUCAGGGGCAAUUUCUGCCUGAGGACGUUGAUGUCUUCUUCUAUUCGUCAGAGUGUCCCUCCAUAGUAUUCAUGUGACCUGGUAGUUGUCAUCCGUCAUUUUGUACAACGUCAUGGAAGAUGUUAAGAGUUUAUCCGUUCAAAGGGCUUUGUUACAAGAUUCGCUUCCUC
This is a long non-coding RNA of Lolium rigidum, 690 nucleotides long. RefSeq lists it as uncharacterized. The record is from RefSeq and is a predicted model, not a curated record. NCBI's taxonomy places the organism in Eukaryota, Viridiplantae, Streptophyta, Magnoliopsida, Poales, Poaceae. The transcript has 3 exons.